RNAcentral lists this ribosomal RNA (419 nucleotides) under uncultured bacterium. RNAcentral's name for it is "bacterial SSU rRNA". It matches the Rfam family "Bacterial small subunit ribosomal RNA", at positions 356 to 773 of the family's 1533-position model. The record is from RNAcentral.
AAGGAAUAUUGGUCAAUGGACGCAAGUCUGAACCAGCCAUGCCGCGUGAAGGAUGAAGGUCCUCUGAAUUGUAAACUUCUUUUAUAGGGGACGAAAUCUAUUUUUCUAAGUCGUCUGACGGUACCCUAGGAAUAAGCACCGGCUAACUCAGUGCCAGCAGCCGCGGUAAUACGGAGGGUGCAAGCGUUAUCCGGAUUCACUGGGUUUAAAGGGUGCGUAGGAGGGCAGGUAAGUCAGUGGUGAAAUCUCCGAGCUUAACUUGGAAACUGCCAUUGAUACUAUCUGUCUUGAAUAUUGUGGAGGUGGGCGGAAUAUGUCAUGUAGCGGUGAAAUGCUUAGAUAUGACAUAGAACACCAAUUGCGAAGGCAGCUCGCUACACAAAUAUUGACUCUGAGGCACGAAAGCGUGGGGAUCAAAC